This 253-nucleotide ribosomal RNA is filed under the name uncultured bacterium. RNAcentral describes it as "partial 16S ribosomal RNA". It matches the Rfam family "Bacterial small subunit ribosomal RNA", at positions 524 to 776 of the family's 1533-position model. The record is from RNAcentral.
GACGGAGGGUGCAAGCGUUGUUCGGAUUGACUGGGCGUAAAGGGCGUGUAGGUGGUCGGUCAAGUCUGGUGUGAAAUCCCGGGGCUUAGCUCCGGAAGGGCACUGGAAACUAGCCGGCUAGAGCGCGAGAGAGGAGGGUGGAAUUCCUGGUGUAGCGGUGAAAUGCGUAGAUAUCAGGAGGAACACCGGCGGCGAAGGCGGCCCUCUGGCUCGUUGCUGACACUGAGACGCGAAAGCGUGGGGAGCAAACAGG